AGAUGUCUGCAGCGUCGCGAGGCUUACUCACCCACUGCGAGCUUGCUCGCCCACCCGGCAGUGUCGCUUGGGACGCGCGCGGGCUCUGACGUGUAGCAGGUUUGCAGUAGGUCCUGACACCGCGCCGGCGGCAACGAUGCGCCUAGGAGCGGACGAGUCGCCGCCUUCAUCGCUCGCCGAGCCGUCCAGCGCCAGACAAGACUAGCCUGCGACGUAAACAAACAAUAAACCAGUAAAGCAGUGCACGCGGUUGGGUGGGUAAACCUCUCGUUGGAGGCACGUGGCAAGUGAGCGACUGGAACACACGCCGUCGCAUUGUUGUGAGGACGCCUGGUCUUUGUUGAGAACCGCGCGUCGCUGCGCCACCACCGCGAUGCUCUGAUGUUCCACUGACGUCACGUGACGAAGAGAGAAGGUAGUAGAAAAAAGGCGGGAAAAAUCUGCGAGCGCCGACGGGACUGCCCGUUUCUCUCCGACCUUCGUUCAACAUAACCUCAAUCACGAGUUCUUCAGAAGAGUCGACGGAAUGCUGCGGCUCGGCUGACAUGGCGGAGGGGGGUCAGGAGGAGGACAGCGGUGACGUCAUGCUGGCCACGCCCACCGCCGCUGCUGCCCUCAAGCGGGAGCCGGACGCACCUCUCAACCUCAAGUCGGAGGAGAGCUGCGACAGCGGGCCGCCGUCCCCGGAGGCGGCGGCGCUGGAGGCGGAGCCGCACCUGCACGCCAG
This is a long non-coding RNA of Bacillus rossius redtenbacheri, 727 nucleotides long. RefSeq lists it as uncharacterized. The transcript has 3 exons. The record is from RefSeq and is a predicted model, not a curated record. Lineage: Eukaryota; Metazoa; Arthropoda; Insecta; Phasmatodea; Bacillidae.